AGAGAGAGACAUGCGCGCAUAUCAAUAAGCGGAGGAAAAGAAACUAACAAGGAUUCCCCUAGUAACGGCGAGUGAAGCGGGAAGAGCUCAAAUUUGAAAUCUUAAAGGGUUUCCCUUUACGAAUUGUAGUUUAAAGAAGUGUUUUCUGUUGAGGUUUUGGUAAAAGUUCUUUGGAAUAGGACAUCAUAGAGGGUGAGAAUCCCGUAUUUGACCUUUACUUUCAACUUUGUGAUACACUUUCAAAGAGUCGGAUUGUUUGGGAAUGCAGUCCAAAAUGGGUGGUAAAUUUCAUCCUAAAGCUAAAUAUUGGCGAGAGACCGAUAGCGAACAAGUACCGUGAGGGAAAGAUGAAAAGAACUUUGAAAAGAGAGUUAAACAGUACGUGAAAUAGUCAAAAGGGAAGCGUUUGACACCAGUGUUGUUUUUCUGAAAAUCAAUUAAAGAACUGUUUAUGCUAAGUUGUUUAGACUUUAUCAGCUAACUGUUUAGUUUUGAGCUUUUCUUUAAUGCACUUUUCAGUCAACAAGUCAACAUCAAUUUCUUUUGCUGUAAAAAAGCUUGAGGAAGGUGGCUUGAGAUUCGUCUUAAGUGUUUAUAGCCUCUUGCCUAUGCAGUCGGAGAGAUUGAGGUCUGCAGCGUAGAUCCUUCGGGGCUAAAUGCAUUUGUGCUAAGUUAUAGCAUUUUCAUAGACAACUUGUUGACUAUGAUUUGUCUUGUAGCUUACUCGCUUAUGUUAUUUUACCUACGCUUAGGAUGUUGAGCGCAUGUCUCUCUCU
RNAcentral lists this ribosomal RNA (776 nucleotides) under uncultured Neocallimastigales. RNAcentral's name for it is "partial large subunit ribosomal RNA". It matches the Rfam family "Eukaryotic large subunit ribosomal RNA", at positions 23 to 616 of the family's 3401-position model. Lineage: Eukaryota; Fungi; Neocallimastigomycota; Neocallimastigomycetes; Neocallimastigales. The record is from RNAcentral.